GAAGCUGGGAAAGGGCACACGGAGGAUGCCUAGGCGGCGGGAGCCGAAGAAGGACGUGCUAAGCUGCGAAAAGCCCGGGGGAGGUGCACAGGACCUGUGAUACCGGGAUAUCCGAAUGGGAGAACCUGCAUACCUGGAGGGUAUGCGCGAGAGAGGUAAGCCGGCGAACUGAAACAUCUAAGUAGCCGGAGGAGAAGAAAGUAAAAACGAUUCCCUGAGUAGCGGCGAGCGAACGGGGAGGAGCCUAAACCGUAUAUGUGUUAAAGCUGGCGGCGUUGCAUAUACGGGGUAGAGGGAACAUACUGGACUGAUGCCAUAAGGUCGAGUUGGUCAUGAUGUAAGCGGAACGCGGCUGGAAAGCCGGACCGUAGGAGGUGAGAGUCCUGUAUAGCGUAAAGUCAUGACGGCUUGUAUGUAAUCCCGAGUAGCAUCGGACACGAGGAAUCCGGUGUGAAUCAGCGUGGACCAUAUCACGUAAGGCUAAAUACUUCCGCCGACCGAUAGAGGAGAGUACCGUGAGGGAAAGGUGAAAAGAACCCUGAGCAAGGGAGUGAAAUAGAAUUUGAAACCGUGUGCUUACAAGCGGUAGGAGCCCUUAGGGGUGACUGCGUGGAUUUUGGUUAAUCAUCCUGCGAGUUAUGAUGUGUGGCGAGGUUAAGUGUAAGCGGAGCCGAAGGGAAACCGAGUCUUAAUAGGGCGACGAGUCGCAUGUCAUAGACGCGAAACCUAGUGAUCUAGGCCUGUCCAGGCUGAAGCUGAGGUAAGACUCAGUGGAGGGCCGAACUCACCGCCGUUGAAAAGUUGGGAGAGUUGAAGAUAUGCGGGGGUAGAGCACUGUAUGGCCUAGGGGGCGUAUAGCUUACCGAAGUCAAGCAAACUGCGAAUACCGUAUAUUGUUUACCAGGAGUGAGUCUACGGAUGACAAGGUCCGUGGACGAGAGGGGAACAGCCCGGACCGCCGGCUAAGGUCCCAAAUCAUGUCUAAGUGGGAAAGGAGGUGGAUAUUCACAGACAACCAGGAGGUUGGCUUAGAAGCAGCCAUACCUUGAAAGAGUGCGUAAUAGCUCACUGGUCGAGAGUAUCUGCGCCGAAGAUAUAACGGGGCUAAGACAUGAACCGAAGCCGCGGAAUUAGUUUAUGCUAAUUGGUAGGAGAGCGUUCUGUAGGCCGUAGAAGGGGUGUUGUAAGACAUUCUGGAGGUAUCAGAAGUGAGAAUGCAGGAAUGAGUAGCGAGAAGGAGGGCGAGAAUCCCUCCGGCCGGAAGUCCAAGGUUUCCAGGGGAAGGUUUGUCCGCCCUGGGGGAGUCGGGACCUAAGCAUAAGCAGAGCUGCGAAGGCGAAUGGAAAACAGGUUAAUAUUCCUGUACCGCUGUGUACUGUCUGAGAGAUGGAGUGACGCAGGAAGGUAUGCGGGAAGGCUGACGGAAUAGCCUUUCUAAGGGUGAAGCGUGGACAUGCAGGCAAAUCCGCAUGUUUAUACGUGAGGCCUGAUGGGGAAGUGCCAUAUGGCAUAAGCCGCAGAUCCUACACUGCCGGGAAAAACUUCUAUUGAGGGAAACAGCGCCCGUACUGUAAACCGACACAGGUGGACAGAGUGAGAAACUUAAGGCCGACAGGACAACUCUGGCUAAGGAACUCUGCAAAAUGGCCCCGUAACUUAGGGAGAAGGGGUACCCGUGAUACCUGAAGGGAGAGACACCUGAAGGGGAGACGGGUCGCAGUGAAGAGUCCCAAGCAACUGUUUACCAAAAACACAGGUCUAUGCUAAGCUGGAAGGCGACGUAUAUGGGCUGACACCUGCCCAGUGCCGGAAGGUUAAGAGGAGGAUUGAGAGAUUCGAAUUGAAGCCCCGGUGAACGGCGGCCGUAACUAUAACGGUCCUAAGGUAGCGAAAUUCCUUGUCGGGUAAGUUCCGACCUGCACGAAUGGUGAAAUGAUUU
RNAcentral lists this ribosomal RNA (1939 nucleotides) under human oral metagenome. Its description in RNAcentral is "bacterial LSU rRNA". It matches the Rfam family "Bacterial large subunit ribosomal RNA", at positions 1 to 2010 of the family's 2925-position model. The record is from RNAcentral.